Molecule: microRNA, 23 nt
Filed under: Gossypium raimondii (Peruvian cotton)
Lineage: Eukaryota; Viridiplantae; Streptophyta; Magnoliopsida; Malvales; Malvaceae
Description: gra-miR8692
Source: miRBase by way of RNAcentral
AGCAGGUCGCGCUGACGUGGACA